CCAGCUUUGGACAAAAGUCUGAGCCGGUGCGUUCCAAAGUCCCUGGCAGAGCUGGCUGUGGUGGGGAUACGCUGCCCCGCCGCCUCUCUGUCCACGCUCGGCUCACCCCUGUCCUCAGGUGCAUCACCCACACCCUUGCACCCAGUCUCGAUCCUCUGGUGGGGACGUCCCAGGACUUGCCAGCUGGGAUGGGCCUCCGCCGAGAGCUCU
This 210-nucleotide long non-coding RNA is filed under the name Nannospalax galili (Upper Galilee mountains blind mole rat). Its description in RNAcentral is "SOX2 overlapping transcript exon 1 (ENSNGAG00000007327.1)". It matches the Rfam family "SOX2 overlapping transcript exon 1". From Rfam's summary of the family: SOX2 overlapping transcript (SOX2OT) is a long non-coding RNA, containing at least 5 exons. The SOX2 gene, an important regulator of neurogenesis, lies within one of the introns of SOX2OT. SOX2OT and SOX2DOT (an isoform of SOXOT transcribed from a distal highly conserved element) are expressed in zones of neurogenesis within the brain. Lineage: Eukaryota; Metazoa; Chordata; Mammalia; Rodentia; Spalacidae. The record is from RNAcentral.